AUGAGUUGUUUUCCGGACCAUCAAAGAUUGGACUGCAACUCUACAAUACAGUUUGCUUUUGAUAAUUAUUGCUGGUGGAUUCUAAGUUCUAACUCGAGACUAAAUUCACGUAUUCCCCACUUGGAAGAUGGAAAGAUGGGAUGCUCCAUGGAGUCCGCCGGCUUCCACCGUCUGUUAAUCACAAUCCUGCUACCUACAACUCUUUCCUGUUUUAGUAGCUCUGUCCUUUUGAAGGCCCCAGCAAAGACAAAGAGGAAAACUCAUGGUGAAACCUCAUCUUUCAUUGAUAUACUAAUUACGGACUCCCCAUAA
This 312-nucleotide ribosomal RNA is filed under the name Triticum aestivum (bread wheat). Its description in RNAcentral is "partial small subunit ribosomal RNA". The record is from RNAcentral. Lineage: Eukaryota; Viridiplantae; Streptophyta; Magnoliopsida; Poales; Poaceae.